GAUGAAGAACGUAGCGAAAUGCGAUAAGUAGUGUGAAUUGCAGAAUUCAGUGAAUCAUCGAAUCUUUGAACGCACAUUGCGCCCCAUGGUAUUCCGUGGGGCAUGCCUGUUCGAGCGUCAUUACAACCCUCAGGCCCCCGGGCCUGGCGUUGGGGAUCGGCGGAGCCCCCCGUGGGCACACGCCGUCCCCCAAAUACAGUGGCGGUCCCGCCGCAGCUUCCAUCGCGUAGUAGCUAACACCUCGCGACUGGAGAGCGGCGCGGCCACGCCGUAAAACACCCAACUCUUCUGAAGUUGACCUCGAAUCAGGUAGGAAUACCCGCUGAACUUAAGCAUAUCAAUAAGCGGAGGA
This 352-nucleotide unclassified non-coding RNA is filed under the name soil metagenome. Its description in RNAcentral is "partial contains 5.8S ribosomal RNA, internal transcribed spacer 2, and large subunit ribosomal RNA". The stretch from base 1 to 120 matches the Rfam family "5.8S ribosomal RNA", at positions 35 to 154 of the family's 154-position model. The record is from RNAcentral.